AGGUUUAGCCUUAAUCGGCACUUCCAAUCAAACUUAGCCGGGUCAUUUGAUCCGGCUUUUUUUGUGCGCGAA
RNAcentral lists this small RNA (72 nucleotides) under Pseudaminobacter salicylatoxidans. RNAcentral's name for it is "suhB". The record is from RNAcentral. Lineage: Bacteria; Pseudomonadati; Pseudomonadota; Alphaproteobacteria; Hyphomicrobiales; Phyllobacteriaceae.